Molecule: unclassified non-coding RNA, 694 nt
Filed under: Hevea brasiliensis (rubber tree)
Lineage: Eukaryota; Viridiplantae; Streptophyta; Magnoliopsida; Malpighiales; Euphorbiaceae
Source: RNAcentral
UUGGAGAAAGAAAACUUUAGAUACAAACAUUAAACCUGAUCAAAUUUACACACAUAAUUAACAUCUGAGAAAAAGUAGAAAAUAACACAAAAAACAACAGCACCAGACAGGGAAAAUGAAAAGAUAAAAGGUCUCUUCAACUCUUCAAGACCUGCUGCUCUUGAAUGGAAUAGCUCUGAUGAUUAUCUGAUGGUAAACUGCAGCAAGAGCUGCUCCAAUGAAUGGUCCAACCCAGAAAAUCCAGUGGUCAUCCCAUGCCUCGUCUUUGUUAAAGAUGAUAGCAGCUCCAAGACUCCUUGCGGGGUUGAUACCAGUUCCGGUGAUUGGAAUGGUAGCCAAAUGAACCAAGAACACCGCGAAUCCAAUUGGAAGAGGUGCCAAAAUAGGAACAUGUGAGUCUCUAGCACUUCUUUUGGCAUCAGUGGCAGAGAAAACAGUGUAAACAAGGACAAAAGUACCAAUAAUCUCAGCACCAAGUCCAUCACCUUUGGUGUAACCAGGAUUAACAACAUUAGCACCACCACCAAGUCUCUCAUAGGGUCCAACCAUAAAACCCUUCACAACACCAGCACCACAGAUAGCACCAAGACACUGCAUCACUAUAUAAAACACUGCCCUUGUUAAUGACAACUUCCUUGCCAAGAACAAACCAAAUGUCACAGCUGGAUUAAUGUGUCCUCCUGAGAUACCAGCA